Cajanus cajan (pigeon pea) is the source of this 101-nucleotide non-coding RNA. The record is from Rfam. NCBI's taxonomy places the organism in Eukaryota, Viridiplantae, Streptophyta, Magnoliopsida, Fabales, Fabaceae.
AGGAGCCGAAUGAAACAAAAGUUUCACGUUCGGUUUUGAAUCGGACGGUUUUGAAUUGGAGAGACGUUAAAUCAAAAUGAUGAAUCAACGUCGACUAUAAC